GAGAGAGAGAGAGAGAGAGAGAGAGAGAGAGAGAGAGUUUGGUCUAUACUCUUUACCGUAUCCAUCUCGAAUACCACAACGUCCCCAUAAAGCCUAACACACACCAAUAACUUCAGAGAGCCCUAACCCAGAAGCCCGAUCGGACGAAACUAAUAGGCCCGGAUGUAUUCUCAAUCACUCUAGGGCUUAGGUACACUCCCACAACUGAUAGGGCUUUCGUAGAGGUUGUCAGUAUUUCCAGGGGUAGUUUUAUGAGCACCCACAACUGAUAGGGCUUUCGUAGAGGUUGUCAGUAUUUCCAGGGGUAGUUUUAUGAGCACCCACAACUGAUAGGGCUUUCGUAGAGGUUGUGGCUAUUUCCAGGGGUAGUUUUUGAUCUCCCACAACUGAUAGGGCUUUCGUAGAGGUUGUCAGUAUUUCCAGGGGUAGUUUUAUGAUCACCCACAACUGAUAGGGCUUUCGUAGAGGUUGUCAGUAUUUCCAGGGGUAGUUUUUGAUCUCCCACAACUGAUAGGGCUUUCGUAGAGGUUGUCAGUAUUUCCAGGGGUAGUUUUAUGAUCACCCACAACUGAUAGGGCUUUCGUAGAGGUUGUGGCUAUUUCCAGGGGUAGUUUUAUGAGCACCCACAACUGAUAGGGCUUUCGUAGAGGUUGUCAGUAUUUCCAGGGGUAGUUUUAUGAUCACCCACAAUUGAUAGGGCUUUCAUAGAGGUUGUCAGUAUUUCCAGGGGUAGUUUUAUGAUCACCCACAUCUGAUAGGGCUUUCGUAGAGGUUGUCAGUAUUUCCAGGGGUAGUUUUUGAUCUCCCACAAUUGAUAGGGCUUUCGUAGAGGUUGUCAGUAUUUCCAGGGGU
This is a long non-coding RNA of Eriocheir sinensis (Chinese mitten crab), 852 nucleotides long. RefSeq lists it as uncharacterized. The transcript is spliced from 3 exons. Lineage: Eukaryota; Metazoa; Arthropoda; Malacostraca; Decapoda; Varunidae. The record is from RefSeq and is a predicted model, not a curated record.